Molecule: long non-coding RNA, 1296 nt
Organism: Dermacentor andersoni
Lineage: Eukaryota; Metazoa; Arthropoda; Arachnida; Ixodida; Ixodidae
Source: RefSeq, a predicted model, not a curated record
UCGAGUGCGUGGCGGCACGGAUUCAUUCGUUCGUGCGCUCAGGUUGGUUGCUUCGUUUUCGCUAAAACUAGUUUAUUGCGCUUCGAUGUCACGCGUUAUUUAACCUGGGGUGAAGUGACGUGUUUGCAAGCGGACAUGUAAGCCCGAAAGUUGGGUAUCGGUCGUGAGCCAUUCGGAACACGUCUGCAUCGAAACGGGAGCUGGAUUCUGGUGCGGCUGACAACGGCAAUAACGACAUGCAGUAAUGAGGAUGGCACCAGCAUAAAGCAACACGCUCCACACUCUAAACAGAAGCUGCUGCCUACUACAACAAGGCCAUUGUGUGGACAUUGGCUGCUACUACAAGAGUCCAUGCCAAGCAUACCUUGGUCAUCACAGGAGCUCCUAUCCACACCAACAGAAAGGGGCUGGAGCUGAAUUUGCAAGGCUUUUACACCACGAACAAAGAAGCGCAUGCAGAAGAAUUUACAUGAGAUAUCAAGUCUGCAGAGCACUGUGUCAAGACUGAAAAGAGCUUCAGCCACCAUUCCACCAGCGCGGACAAAUUGGCUGAGUCAUCCAGGUAACUCAAAAAGGACUUUAUGGAAAUUCUUCGUCUUCAGAUGCGCCUGCAACUUCUGAUCAAGCACGGAUGAUGCUGGCCAAAAGAGUUCCAUUAGUUUGCCCUUAAUCAGCUUCCUGGCCAUGUCAAUUCCAUUUGUGCCAAGUGUAAUUUUUUUUCUAUAAAUGCAAGCUUUUUCAUUGCCCAUUCUCGUUAGAGAUCAUUCAUCCUCAUCCAAACAUAAAGGUCAACCGAUUCUUCGCUGAUACUUAAUACCAGUCACUGUCUAGUAGCAUAACAUAUCUGUAGCAGUACCUUUUAGUGCAUGUUGUCAUGCACAAUUCCUCUCCUGAAAUAGCUGAUGCAACAUCGACAUGUUUCUUGCAUUAACCUACGCACUGUUUGCUAUGCACCAUUUUACUUUUCUUGAUGUUUUUGGCCUUCAAUGCUUGCAGAGCAGGGUGGCUUCUCUCUUGAAUGCAAGCUUUCUCAUUUUCCAUAUUCCUAGUCUUGUUGAUGGUUGCUCUUCUUCCUCGAUAGCCUGGGUCUUUGCGCAAGCUACACUGAAUGAUAGAUUGCAGAAUCUGGUUUUGCUGCCCCACUUGGUUGUGGUCGCCGUGUUACAUUUCUCGGAUGUGGGGGCCUGCUCAGUUACAUUGGUAAGCAGUCUCUCGAGGUAAGCAUUUGCUCCUGCAGUCCGCACAGCGACAUAGACUCCCAGUGUACACACACCAUAACUGGUGCUCCCCGUUCAU